AUGUCUCUUAUUUUGCUGAUCUCGUGGAAAAUUUGGAACGAGAGGAAUGCACGCGUCUUCCGUAACACCGCGGUGCCGGUUGGUGUUCUUGCUGCUAGAAUCAAAGAUGUUUCAAAGCUUUGGUGCCUUGUAGGGGCCAAGUAUUUGAGUAUUGUAGUGCCUCGAGAGUAA
This 171-nucleotide ribosomal RNA is filed under the name Triticum aestivum (bread wheat). RNAcentral describes it as "partial small subunit ribosomal RNA". Lineage: Eukaryota; Viridiplantae; Streptophyta; Magnoliopsida; Poales; Poaceae. The record is from RNAcentral.